AACGAACGCUGGCGGCGCGCCUAAUACAUGCAAGUCGAGCGAGAAGACGUAGCAAUACGUUUGUAAAGCGGCGAACGGGUGAGGAAUACAUGGGUAACCUACCCUAGAGUGGGGAAUAACUAGCCGAAAGGUUAGCUAAUACCGCGUACGCUCCUUGGACUUCGGUUCAGGGAGGAAAGCGAUACCGAGGGUAUCGCGCUCUUGGAUGGGCUCAUGUCCUAUCAGCUUGUUGGGGGGUGAUGGCCUACCAAGGCGACGACGGGUAGCCGGCCUGAGAGGGCGACCGGCCACACUGGGACUGAGACACGGCCCAGACUCCUACGGGGAGGCAGCAGUGGGGAAUCUUGCGCAAUGGGCGAAAGCCUGACGCAGCGACGCCGCGUGAGGG
Molecule: ribosomal RNA, 388 nt
Filed under: uncultured bacterium
Lineage: Bacteria
Description: bacterial SSU rRNA
Rfam family: Bacterial small subunit ribosomal RNA
Source: RNAcentral